RNAcentral lists this transfer RNA (67 nucleotides) under Hemiphyllodactylus sp. MPH-2011. RNAcentral describes it as "tRNA-Cys". The record is from RNAcentral. Lineage: Eukaryota; Metazoa; Chordata; Lepidosauria; Squamata; Gekkonidae.
AGCCCGCGAAGUUGAAUCAACACAAGCUGCAAACUUGGAGAAGCUCCCCAAUUGGGAGCCGGGGCUU